UUAGUAUGGAGCGUGAAUCACCGUGCAAUGUAGAUAAGAGUCGGGUAUUCAGUGCCCAAGAGCAACUAGUAAUGAUCAUAAACAAAGAAGACUCCCACACUUGAAAUAUGCUUGGAUGAGCCAGUAAUUGCUGUCAUUCAGAAGACCGUAUAAUUGUGGUGCCAUUCGUCGUUUGUGUGGUCAUGUCGUGAUAGCAACUAGUUAUUGGUCAAAUUAGAUGACCACAACUCGCAAUCUGACUAUACUUGGGUGAGCUGAUAUAAAUUGCUAUCAUUCAGAAGACCGUAUAAUGAUGGUGCCAUUUGUUGUUUGUGGCCGUGAGAGCAACUCAUCAACAAAGGAAACCUCCACAUUUUGAAUAUGCUUGCAUUGAGCCCGUUUGAAAACUGUCUAUCUGAUAGCUGUAUAAUUUCGAUGAUGUGUGAUUAACAAGCGAGAUAAGUUAAUCAAUCAUUCAGCUAGUAACUAGACUAAAAUGAAUCAGAUUUUAGAAGUGUGGUUGAGCUAAAAUGAGAACCAGUUACCAUUCUGAUAUGAUGAUGACGAGAUCCAGUGUCUUCAGUCCGCGAGAGCAGCUAAUAAUUUCUUCGAUGCAGGUGCCCAGCACAUUUUAUAGGUGCAAGUAUAGAUGUACAGUUUUUUGGCGUACUUUUUAUUACAAUCCAGGUACUUUUGGUGGAUUGAAGGCUUCUGGCAUCUUAUAACUGGUCACUAUACAUAUAACUGGUCACUAUUUUAUGUACGCAAGUGUAAAUAUAGCAAAUUAUACAACAAUAAAAUACCAAACUACUAUAAUUAUCGUUUGAUUUAACUAAAAUGUAUGACAUUAUUUCAAAUUACAACGACAAAACUGCCCCCAGAACGAAAAAAAGUUACAACUGCUGUAUAAAGUACGCAUGGUUGUACCUUUUCUUGUUACGAGCGGAGAAAACCACCUUUUGCCCAAUUUAUACAUUCAUAUUUGUUCAAGAAAUAAUUCACGCAUUUUAAUAUGCGAAAUAUUUUACUUUUUCAAAUACAUCGUGAUUAAUCGGGAGACUGCAAAACUUUCCACUAAGUUUCUUAUCAAGGGAGUUAAUUUGAGAUGCAUUACUUUAAUAAUAAGUAAAAGCCAGUGUGUGAAUACGAAGGAAAUGUGGAGUAAAAUCAGCCUGCUUUUGUAUAUGCGAUGCAUUUCAUUCUUUGUGCUUUAAGAAAGUAAGGCGACGAUAUCUGAAUCUCCUAUUUCCGGUAGCUUCCGCAGUAGAAACUUCGGCACAUUGUUUCUUCCAAACCGUUUUCAGAUUUUGAUGCUAGAAACUAUAGACGAGAUUUACAACUAAAAAUAAAUUUAUUGCGGUGUCAAUUGAUGAUGCUCGAGGUCUGUCGAUGAUUUAAAAAA
Hyposmocoma kahamanoa is the source of this 1381-nucleotide long non-coding RNA. RefSeq lists it as uncharacterized. The transcript is spliced from 3 exons. The record is from RefSeq and is a predicted model, not a curated record. Lineage: Eukaryota; Metazoa; Arthropoda; Insecta; Lepidoptera; Cosmopterigidae.